GCCUUCCAAAGUGCUGAGAUUACAGGUGUGAGCCACCACACCCGGCCCCUGUUUGGGUUUUAAAUGACAGUUUUCUCUGUUGUGCUAGCACCUCCCCUCAGUUCAGGGACCUUCACCCCCAGCCUGGGCAUUUCGUCUGGAAUGAGACUUGUGGGGUUGCUUGGCGCUUGAGGCCAGGAUAUACUCUGAGCUGCGGAUGGCCAUCUCCUCUCCUGGGGCCUCGUUUCCCUCUGACCUCCUGCCCUCAUCACCUGGUGAUCUGGACCCAGGGCCAUAUCCCUUCUCUGCCCAGUUCUUGGGGCAGUGAUGGUGUCAGGCCGUUUGUGGGUCCCCCUGGUGCCCUGUCUGCCCCUCCACAAGACCUGGGAACUGCGGGAGGACAUGGGGACAGCCCAGGGGCAGGCUGGGGUUCCUGUGUGCUCGGGAAUGCCCCUCAGUUCCGCAUGGCCUUGUCUGUACACGGUGUGUGUGACCUUGUGCCCGACGGUCUGGAGGGACCAUUGAGUGGGCCAUUGCCUGUCCAGGCCUCUCCUGUGCUCCAGAAUGUUACGAGGGAUACCUCUCCAAAGGGGUGGGUGGGGGCGCCGCGUUCACAGUCAGCACCCUGGACAGCCCAUCCCCCAGCUGCUGGUGCAUCCCAUAGCAGGGCCAGGUCCCCCGGGAAGUGGGGGCAUCUCUGUAGAGCUGGCAGACCCCUGCCCACCCUGGGGCUGUGCCCCAAGCCCAGUGCUCCCAGUGAGGACAGAUUCUCUUAAUUAGGGAUGUCCCCUGGCACUUCUGCCACGGAGCUGGCCUCUGGUCCUGCACACUCCAGACACAUCCACCCUGGCUCACACACACCCCGGCUCACAUGCACCCCGGAUCCCACCCCCGCUGACACUCACCCCGGUUCCCAUGCACCCCAGGCUCACAUGCACUCCCGGCUCACACGCACCCCUGCUCACACGCACUCCGGCCCACACGCACCCCUGCUCACACGCACUUCGGCCCACACGCACCCCGCUCACACACCCCGCUCACCCAGUUCCCACGCACCCCAGGCUCCCACGGACCCCCGCUCACAUGCACCCCGGUUCCCACGCACCCCAGGCUCCCAUGCACCCGGCUCACAUUCACGCCCGCUCACACGCACCCCAGCUCACAUGCACCUUGGCUCACGCGCACCCCGGCUCACAUGCACCCCGGGCCCACACGCAUCGCCUCUCGCACCCCAGCUCACAUGCACCCUUGCUAACAUGCACCCCCUCUCCCAGGCACCCCGGCUCACACGCACCCCAACUCACACGCACCCCCACUCACACGCACUCCGGCUCUCACCCUGGCUCACACGCACCCCCUCUUACACGCACCCCGGGCUCACACGCAACCCCUCACACGCACCCCGGC
This 1386-nucleotide long non-coding RNA is filed under the name Pan troglodytes (chimpanzee). RNAcentral describes it as "long non-coding RNA NONPTRT002479". Lineage: Eukaryota; Metazoa; Chordata; Mammalia; Primates; Hominidae. The record is from RNAcentral.